Molecule: long non-coding RNA, 2658 nt
Filed under: Nicotiana tabacum (common tobacco)
Lineage: Eukaryota; Viridiplantae; Streptophyta; Magnoliopsida; Solanales; Solanaceae
Description: long non-coding RNA (NTAB_LNC006231)
Source: RNAcentral
GUCUAUCUAGUUCUGUAGAGAACAGCAGCGGAGACAUUACUGGUCAAGAGCCACCCAACACAGUCACCAAAAUCAAAGGAACUAAUGAAAUAGGAGGUGAUUCUAAUGGUGAUGUCAAAUUAGUAUGUGAAGAAAGUGCAGAUACUGAGAAGGUAGAGAGCAAUGGCCAAGCGUCACAUAGCACUGUUACAGAGAUUACAGCCAUUGAAGAAAUUAGGCCUGAAUCUAAUGGUUUAAGCAAAAUUGAUGAGAGUGUGGAUGCCGAAAAGGCUGGUAGCAACAACUCACUGGCUACCGACAUUGUUACUGAGAUCAAUAAAUUAGAAGACGAAUCUAAUGGUGCAGAGAAAAUUAACAAUGUGUCUGAGAUCACUGGAAUACAAGUUGAGUCUAAUGGUGCAGAGGAAAUAAGUGAUGAUAAAGUAGCAUGCCAAGAGAGCACAAACACAGAAAAAGGAGAUGAUUCUAAUGGUGAUGUCAAAUUAGUAUGUGAAGAAAGUUCAGAUACUGAGAAGGUAGAGAGCAAUAGCCAAGCGGCACCUAGCACUGUUACAGAGAUCACAGCCAUUGAAGAAAUUAGGCCUGAAUCUAAUGGUUUAAGCAAAAUCGAUGAGAGUGUGGAUGCUGAAAAGGCUGGUAGCAACAAUUCACUUACUACCGACAUUGUUACUGAGAUGAAUGGAUUAGAAGAUGAGUCUAAUGGUGCAGAGAAAAUUAACAACGUUUCUGAGAUAACUGGAAUACAAGUAGAGUCUAAUGGUGCAGAGGAAAUAAGUGAUGAUAAACUAGCAUGCCAAGAGAGCACAAACAGUGAAAAAGGAGGUGAUUCUGAUGGUGAUGUCACAUUAGUAUGUGAAGAAAGUUCAGAUACUGAGAAGGUAGAGAGUAAUGGCCAAGCGGCACCUAGCACUGUUACAGAGAUUACAGCCAUUGAAGAAACUAGGCCUGAAUCUAAUGGUUUAAGCAAAAUCGAUGAGAGUGUGGAUGCUGAAAAGGCUGGUAGCAACAGUUCACUGGCUACCGACAUUGUUACUGAGAUCAAAGGAUUAGAAGAUGAGUCUAAUGGUGCAGAGAAAAUUAACAAUGUUUCUGAGAUCAUUGGAAUACAAGUUGAGUCUAAUGGUGCAGAGGAAAUAAAUGAUGAUAAACUAGCAUGCCAAGAGAGCACAAAUGCUGAAAAUGCAGACAGCCUAAUUCAGAGUGUAUCCAAUGUGGUCAGUGAAAUCAAAAGAACUGAAGAUAUAGAAGGUGAAUCUGAUGUCGCAGACAAAAGGACUGAUGGAAACUCAACCUGUGGAGAAAGGAAGGAUGCUGAAGCAAUGAAUAGUGGAACUCCAGUUCAUACAGGGUGCGUUCCUAACCAUUUAUGUUUUUCGCCUUUAUCUUUCAUUUGGCAUGAUUUAGUAAAAGCAGUCUCUGGACCUGCUUGCCCCCCCUCCCCCCAUCACAAAAAAGGGACAAAGGAUGAAUUUAGACUCAAUUAGUUGAUUAGUACUGUUGUGAGCAGAUUUAGAUGAGCGGGAAAUUAUCCGUUCUUUUUGCUGCUAAAGUGAGAUCUGUGAUCAAUUAAGAUGAAUAUGAUCAAGUCAAUAUCUUUAAUUUUUUACUCUUACCAUUUUUUUAGUAGAUAUGAUAUUUAUAUUCAGGUUGCAGUGAAGUUUAUGUUGCAGCCUGUAACGGAUGUCCUUAUAUUUGAUAUUAUUGAGAAUUCAGAUACACUCUCUUAUCUUUGAAGAACAAAAGAUUUGUCUGAUUCAUUUCUGAUUUUUUGAUGAGAGGUUUCGUAGUCUGCGGACAGAUAUUUACGGUUCUAUCCUCAAUCACCUUUUCUAUUAAGAGAUAUGAGUGCAGGGAGGAGGCUGGGGAUGUGACUUUCCUAUUUAUGUUUCUUCCUUCACUGUCAUGCUCUAUUGGAUGUAUGCGACUUAUAUCCACAUUGCAUUUGGUGGAAGCUUUGUUUUCAGUAUAAGAAUGGAUACACUGGGCUAGGUACCAUUUGCAUGAUAGACUUGAUGUUUUUUUUUUUUUUGAUUUGCACCGGGUGUCCGAGUCUCUUCGAGACUCGACUAAUCCCGGGGGUGCACAGGCCCUCGGCAAGGAGUUUCCCGCAAGUGCAUCACGGUUAAUUCAGGUUUUACCCAGUCCGAUGACCCUCAGAAAUUGUUUGCACCCAGUGGGUUUCGAACUUGAGACCUUGAAAGGGAGCAAACCCCAAGGCUCAAGUCAAUUGCCACCCGGCCAACCUGAGGGUUAGACUUGAUGUUUGUUUAGUAGCUUGAUAUUCGGAGUGCAGUGAUAUUUUAUCUUUUUUCAAAUUGAGCCAGGAUUUUAAACUGAUUAACCAACUUGAAGGGCUUCACAUUAAUUCUCUGUCCGCUAAGUGAUUCUAUUUACUAGAAAACAUAGUGAUGCUGAAUUUUCCCACAUUUCAUCUUUUUAGCUGACAUAAAUUUGCAGCAUUGAUGCUGUCACAUUUGGAAAGGAGAGCACGAAUAACCCGGUUAAUGAUGUUCAAAAUGUGCACAACACUGUCCUCGAGACUAUAUGCAAUGAAGAAAUUGGAAGUGCCUCUAAUGGUGACAAAGAUAUAGAUGACAAAGUGAUGCGCCAAAGAGAUGAGGAGUCUGAAAGAUUGCAGAGUGAUGGUCUAGCUAGUGA